This is a long non-coding RNA of Ictalurus punctatus (channel catfish), 444 nucleotides long. The record is from Ensembl. NCBI's taxonomy places the organism in Eukaryota, Metazoa, Chordata, Actinopteri, Siluriformes, Ictaluridae.
ACUGAAGGGUGUGUGUGUGUGUGUGUGUGUGUGUGUGUGCGUGCAUCAGCUUUGAAGAGAAAGAGGAAAUGGCACCGAACAUGACAAAAAUUCCAGGAAGUUCCAUGAUGCCCGACGCUGAUCUGAAAAGAUCUGGCUGUGGGUCCUACCAGGAAAAAAACGGCCUAUGUUGGAGAUACCCAGCUGCAUGUAGUCAAAUGGUUUGACAACAGGCCGGUCACCCUUCUCAGUAGCAACGUAGGUGCUCACUCUGUAUCCCACAUUGAAAGAUGGGACAGAGGCCAGAAGAAAACCAUCAAGGUCCCAUGCCCUGCAGCAGUAUCCACAUACAAUCAGCACAUGGGAGGUGUUGACUUGUUGGAUUCCCUGAUUGCUUUAUAUCGUACCAACAUAUGUUCAAAGAAAUGGUACCACCACCAAUGUUUUUCAUGUCAUAGAUAUGAC